Molecule: ribosomal RNA, 301 nt
Filed under: uncultured bacterium
Lineage: Bacteria
Description: partial 16S ribosomal RNA
Rfam family: Bacterial small subunit ribosomal RNA
Source: RNAcentral
CAGCCGCCGCGGUAAUACAGAGGGUGCAAGCGUUAAUCGGAAUUACUGGGCGUAAAGCGCGCGUAGGUGGUUUGUUAAGUUGGAUGUGAAAGCCCCGGGCUCAACCUGGGAACUGCAUCCAAAACUGGCAAGCUAGAGUACGGUAGAGGGUGGUGGAAUUUCCUGUGUAGCGGUGAAAUGCGUAGAUAUAGGAAGGAACACCAGUGGCGAAGGCGACCACCUGGACUGAUACUGACACUGAGGUGCGAAAGCGUGGGGAGCAAACAGGAUUAGAUACCCCGGUAGUCCCUGUCUCUUAUAA